Molecule: ribosomal RNA, 143 nt
Filed under: uncultured Rhodoferax sp.
Lineage: Bacteria; Pseudomonadati; Pseudomonadota; Betaproteobacteria; Burkholderiales; Comamonadaceae
Description: partial 16S ribosomal RNA
Rfam family: Bacterial small subunit ribosomal RNA
Source: RNAcentral
GGGCUCGACCCAACCCGCGGAGGGGGAGCCAAUCCCAUAAAGCCAGUCGUAGUCCGGAUCGUAGUCUGCAACUCGACUACGUGAAGUCGGAAUCGCUAGUAAUCGUGGAUCAGAAUGUCACGGUGAAUACGUUCCCGGGUCUU